AAAGCAUCGGUCUCCCUAACUUAGAACCAAGCGAAGCACUUGCCAAUUUGGCUUGGAAGAUCCAAAAAUAAAAAAAAUAAAAAAAGAUAGCAGUAGAUUUUUACUGUAGCUCGUCAAGCUUUCAAGAUGGAGCGAUAUGAAUGACGACAACAGCAUCGGUCUCCCUGACUUGGAAUGAAGCGAAGCGUCUACCAAUUUGAUCUGAAAGAUCCAAAAAUAAAAAAAUAUAGCAGCAGAAUUUUACUGCAGCUCGUCAAGCCUUCAAGAUGGAGCGAUAGGAAGAUGACGAGCACCGGUCUCCCUCACUUGGAAAGAAGAGGAGCGCUUGUCAAUUUGGCUUGGAAGAUCCAAGAGGUUGUCGCAAUUCACAGCAACGAAGACUCGUGCUGUUGACUCGGGGUCCACACAUGACGCUUGUGGAGGAGAAGGUUCGGUUCCGGUUCGGCUCCUCUAUAUAAAGGUUGGGCCUCACCCCGCAGAGCAGAGUCGAUCGAGAGAAGAAGAAGGUCGAGUGAGUGGAUCGAUUAGGAAGAGAAAAGAUGGGGAAGCAGCUGCCCCUGUGCAUGGUGUUCUUGAUGGCCUUCCUCAUCAUCUUUGCCAUGCCCUCUGUCCCUGCAGAGGCAGGGAGAGCGCUGGGGCAGGCGAGUAUUGGAACUGGAUCUGGAUUGAAGAUACCAGGCAUGACGCCUUCUGUGCCUCGUGGUCAGCCAGACGACGGCAGUAUCAGUAUCCCUAGCAGUAGCCCUGCAUGCUCAAGUGUCUCCGAAUGUAGCAACCGACCUCCUGAAGCGCCCUGAGCUAGCUAGUCUUGCUGGUCCAACGAAUUCCCAUACCCAGACUCGGCUAGUCUGGAUAACGUGGUGGAGCAGAGCGUGUGCUUCUGAGACUAUAUUCUCGGUGUAGAAUAAGGCAUGCAUGCAGCUCAUCCUACAUACGUAUAGUAAGUACAUGGGUGCUAAUGAGAUGGGGAAUAAAAGCCUAGCUAGCUGAAUGGCAUGGCGUCUUCUGCUGCGCAUAUAGUAUCAUAUAUGUUUAUGUAUGUGCCUAGCUAAAUCCAGGGAUGUUAAGUGUAGUCUGGCGAUCGAGGCAAGAUACGAUAAGUGUUAAGUUCAAGACAUUUUCGUGGUCCUGUAACAUGGUUCUUAUUUCAUGAAUCAAAUUAAUGGUACCAUGAAGCAGUA
This is a long non-coding RNA of Phragmites australis (common reed), 1181 nucleotides long. RefSeq lists it as uncharacterized. The record is from RefSeq and is a predicted model, not a curated record. NCBI's taxonomy places the organism in Eukaryota, Viridiplantae, Streptophyta, Magnoliopsida, Poales, Poaceae. The transcript has 2 exons.